ACUUCAGGGAUGAAGGAGAUGGAGAAACAUUGGUGGGUUUUGAUCAGUGAUGAGCAAGGUCAACCACAGGGAAACAUUGCUCUUGGAAUUCUGUGGAGGCGGAUCUGUUCAGGAUAAAGAAAGAGCCAGAGGUUCUGCUUUCCAGUGUCUUACAUCACCCAGAUAAUUGGCAGCCAGGAGAAGGGCAGCUGCCACACUCUUCAGAGAUCUAUUUAAAGUUCAAAAAGACGCAGGAUAACAAUAACAAGAAGGUAAGCGUGGCUCUGACCAACCCACCCAACAACAGGAAGAAUGGCUGAAAAAGAAUCUACAUUAUCACACCUUCUGGUCCCUAUUCUUCUCUUGAUUGGCUGGAUUGUGGGAUGCAUCGUAAUGGUUUAUGUUGUCUUCUCAUAGAAAGGCAAGAAGACUUCAGAUUGACAUCAUUUAGAAGAAUUAAGAAAAUCAUGAAAAUGACAAGAUAAUUAAACGUUUCUCAUGUAAAUAACAGCAA
Non-coding RNA from Sus scrofa (pig), 493 nucleotides. NCBI's taxonomy places the organism in Eukaryota, Metazoa, Chordata, Mammalia, Artiodactyla, Suidae. The record is from RefSeq and is a predicted model, not a curated record.